Molecule: ribosomal RNA, 254 nt
Filed under: uncultured bacterium
Lineage: Bacteria
Description: partial 16S ribosomal RNA
Rfam family: Bacterial small subunit ribosomal RNA
Source: RNAcentral
UACGUAGGGUGCGAGCGUUGUCCGGAAUUACUGGGCGUAAAGAGCUCGUAGGUGGUUUGUCGCGUUUGUUCGUGAAAACCGGGGGCUUAACCCUCGGCGUGCGGGCGAUACGGGCAGACUGGAGUACUGCAGGGGAGACUGGAAUUCCUGGUGUAGCGGUGGAAUGCGCAGAUAUCAGGAGGAACACCGGUGGCGAAGGCGGGUCUCUGGGCAGUAACUGACGCUGAGGAGCGAAAGCGUGGGGAGCGAACAGG